Homo sapiens (human) is the source of this 524-nucleotide long non-coding RNA. RefSeq annotates it as long independently transcribed non-coding RNA 112. The transcript has 3 exons. NCBI's taxonomy places the organism in Eukaryota, Metazoa, Chordata, Mammalia, Primates, Hominidae. The record is from RefSeq and is marked validated.
GAGCUUCCGCAGAGAUCCUGCAGAUGUGAUUCGAGUCUUCCAGCAACACCACCUCACUCUGCUUUGCACAAUCACUCCACCUCCCCACAUGUUGCGGAGAUUCUCCUGGGGAUUCACACUCUUCCUACUUGCAGCUGUGACACGGGAAACAUCCUCCACCAGGUCUUCUCUCACAGUGUGGCCUCUGCGCACAGGUUAUCCACCUGUAGACCUGGACGGGACCCUCGAGGCUCCCUACUCUGACCAUCUGGUUUUAUAGUUGAGGAACCAGAAGCCGAGGCAGGGUCUCGACGGUGAAGAAGCAGGCUGUUUCCAUCUUCAGGAUACAAGCCAUCUGCGCAUAGGAAGAGGGUCCAGAGGCUCAUCUGGAAUCCCUCCUCACUCACUGGACGGAGGACCUGACCCCGUUCCCAUCAUUGGUUCUGAAUCCAUCAGCCCAGCAAGACAGGUGUCUCCAGCAAGUUCUGUAAAAUACAACCAUAGCCGGGCCUGGAGUCAGCCCCCAAUAAAGGGUUCACCAUGGA